GACGAACCGUGCGAACGUUGUUCGGAAUCACUGGGCUUAAAGGGCGCGUAGGCGGGCUUUCAAGUUUGGGGUGAAAUCCUCGGGGUCAACCGGAGAACUGCCUCGGAUACUGAAGGUCUCGAGGGGGAUAGGGGCAUGCGGAACUACGGGUGGAGCGGUGAAAUGCGUUGAUAUCCGUAGGAACUCCAGUGGCGAAGGCGACGCGCUGGAUCAUUUCUGACGCUGAGACGCGAAAGCGUGGGGAGCAAACAGG
RNAcentral lists this ribosomal RNA (253 nucleotides) under uncultured bacterium. RNAcentral's name for it is "partial 16S ribosomal RNA". It matches the Rfam family "Bacterial small subunit ribosomal RNA", at positions 524 to 776 of the family's 1533-position model. The record is from RNAcentral.